Long non-coding RNA from Homo sapiens (human), 2319 nucleotides. Ensembl annotates it as long intergenic non-protein coding RNA 1257. NCBI's taxonomy places the organism in Eukaryota, Metazoa, Chordata, Mammalia, Primates, Hominidae. The record is from Ensembl.
CUCCUGAGCAGCCAUGCACGUGGCGUUUACUCCCAAUGGGCGAUGGGAUUUUCAUCAGCUUUUAUGUUCAGAAGGCAGGGCACACCUGGAAGCUGUUGUCGAGGGAUGGCCUGAUUGAGCUCGUGAGGCCCUGGGCGUGCGGGUGUGGAAUAUCCUGCUCCAAUCAAAGCCAUGUCACCUGCGUUGUCCAGUGAAACGUCAGCGGACAGGCGCUGCCCGGGCUCCAGGGAGCUCCUCACUGAGGCUCACUCCCUGUGCCUCUGCCAUCAGCACAGGGGGACAUGCCUGGCUGCCUGUGGGACCAGGGAGGACGCGCGGUGCGGGAGCAGAGCCAGCCACACUGCCGCUGCUGCACUGUUCAUCUGAGUGGCGCAAGAACUUGUCAGUGCCUUUAAUCUGAGGGAUGAGUCUUCAGGAGAGUUUGUUGUCAGGAUUUAACACUUACUCUUGGAAAAGCAGUAAUGUGUGCUGGAAAUGAACCGGGCAGACCCUGCUCCCAUCUCCAUCUGCCUCAAUCUCAGUGCCCUCCACUCCCCACCAGCAGCGCCUGUUACCAAGUCACUGCACAACAACCACAAAUGGAGAGUGGAGGAGCAUCACUUUCCACCCCGGGAUCAUGACGAGGGCUCUGUAACUUCAACAAAUGCGCAGAAGACGCCUGGCCUCGAGCUUGUGCAGCACCUCCGGAGCCUGCCUUCCCUUGUCACCCACGGCACCAUGACUUUGGAGGGUCUCAGCUCAGUCCUCCCUCCAGAGGGGCUGUCAGUGCUGGGCAGAAAAUCACCCUUCAACGACCGGGCCCAGCUGCGCUCUGUCAGAGAGCAGAGAAAGCAGGCCUCCGGGAGGUUCUCACUCCACCAAGGAGACGUCUCCACCCAGCGCUCAUCCUGAGCAAGGGCACUGGGAGGAAGAAAUGCAAUUUUAAAACCUGUGCUGCGAAUGAUGACUUCUGCUGCUUCCGUCUCUGGAGAGCUCUGGGCACUUAACAUCCUUCCACCCACAUGCCCGAGUCUGUGCAGAAACCUCACCCACGCGGAGGAGACUGCAUUUCCCAGUAGCAGAUUCAAGUCCUGAACUUCCUGUACCACAAAGUGUUACCCACACUGGUGGGUGCCAGCCUGAGACUCAACUAUCAGGAAAAACAUGAAGAAUUCAGUCCAUGCCCUCAAAUGCACCCAUGUGGCUCCCAAACGGCAAAUCUCAGCAAUGAGAUUCUCAGCUAGGAAAGUCCACACUGAACUCAUGCAGAGGACAAAGUACAUAGGCCUGGGGUUCUUGGCACCUGAGAUCUCUGAGCAGUUUUCUGAAUUUUCCUAUUUCCUGUUGAAGACAUAGGAACACGUGGCACAGAGGCACAGAGACCUGGAAACCAACAGGUGACCUCAGGGAGGUUUGUGAAGCACCCUGAUGAGAAGACAGUUGGGCAGACGUGGCUGGCUAUUCCCCAAGUCCAUUUUCCCUCCUGGGACCAGAGCUGACUCCAUUUCUCAAUCUGCCUUGCAGUGAGCAUAGUCAGUUCCAACGUCGCACGGUGGGACUCUGGACAGGGUCCUCCCUCUCCAUCUUCCCCUCGCUGGGACCCAGCACGGCACAGGAGGGGCGGCCAACACCAUUUAGACAUCAGAACUGUCCAGAGUGUUCUGCCCUCUGUCUUAAGUCACGACCCCGGAUUCCCCAGGCAGCCACACACAGCGGUCUACACCGGGAGAAAGUCGCCGUGAGAACCGUGGCACCGCAGGAGGCUGUGCGUGUUUGCUUUUGUUGAUCUGUUUAACUGCAGCCCGAUUUAUGUUUCUGGAUCCUGGAAUUGAGUUGACACUAUCGGUAGUAUGAAAGUGACAGACACCAGGAUGAAGUCACUCUUGUCAGACCCAGAGGAAACAGGGUCAGGAGGCCUGGGGGAGGGGAGGACGCUGCUGCGUGUCUGAGAUCAGAGCUGUUUCCAAGGACUUUCUGAAGCCCCACAAGAAGGCCCUCUGCGUCCGUCGCGCAUCUCCGGCCUGGCGGGGCUUGCGUGGCUCACACGUACACGCAUUUCUACGGCCAGGGUUAUCUAUCACCAGACAUUCUUGAGGACUGCAGUGAUUCUGAUCAGAUGCUCUCAAAAGACCACUUCCCAGUGACAACACCUCCUUCAAGAAACCGACAGCAUUCUGGCUGUGGGUCCCUGGAACCAGUGAACUGUGUCAGAGCAGCUCAGGCGAACUUCUCCCCUGUGCCAAUGAAAGCUUUUUCUUACCCUACCUCACUGGAGGCACCUGUUACUUGCCACAGUGCAUUUGGGAUUCUCAUCCUCUUUUUCUAUCCCCAAAUAAAUUC